Non-coding RNA from Ornithorhynchus anatinus (platypus), 69 nucleotides. RefSeq annotates it as microRNA mir-302-2. NCBI's taxonomy places the organism in Eukaryota, Metazoa, Chordata, Mammalia, Monotremata, Ornithorhynchidae. The transcript has a single exon. The record is from RefSeq and is marked provisional.
CUUCUACUUUAACAUGGAGGUGCUUUCUGUGAUUUAAAAAGUAAGUGCUUCCAUGUUUUAGUAGAGGUG